Long non-coding RNA from Helicoverpa zea (corn earworm), 1232 nucleotides. RefSeq lists it as uncharacterized. The record is from RefSeq and is a predicted model, not a curated record. NCBI's taxonomy places the organism in Eukaryota, Metazoa, Arthropoda, Insecta, Lepidoptera, Noctuidae. The transcript has 2 exons.
CUGUUUCUAUUCAUUUUGAAAAGUUUUGCGCGUUAUUGCAUGUCUGUGGAAUAAAAACAACGUUUUAUUAUAAGCUGUGGUGUUUCAUUAAAGUUUGUGCAGCCAGAGCUCCGGUAUAAAUAUGUAGUGGCGACAGACGUCAGGAGUAUAUUUUACUGCAUGGAGAAUGUUACAACACAGGUUUCCGAACGGCUACCCACGAACAUAUCAGCUUUCUUUCCUUCCGCAGUACACCUUUUCAACGAGGCCCGAAUAGCUGUCAGUGGCCACAAUAAAAGGCGCGUUUGCGUCAGUAAUUGAAAAGGGAUCGCUGGCCAGUCUUUUUCUCGGCUGUCUGGUUGACGUUUGGCUGCCAAAUUGACAGUUUGGCGCGCUCAUUUAUCUUGAUAUAGUUACUGAAGAAAUGAAGAUAUUGUAUUGUGCUGUAGCUAUACUUUAGUCAUACAUCGAAAAAAACUCGAGUCUUAUUUAUUUGUAAAAAUGUAAAUGUAUGAAUGUUUUUUGCCGUUAUUUUUGAGAUUCCAUCUUGGUGGAUCUUUUGACAUGAUUGCCCAACAUAUUAAGCCAAUCAGGUAAGUAUUUCUGGCACACGUUUUGUGUGUUAAGAAUAAAACACUAUUACCAGGAGUAGUAUUAUUUUGACUUUGUUUAAAAUUUUGCACUACAAUGCAAAUCUUAGUGCGGAGCAAGAUCUCGUGAAUUGGCUGAAGUUGUUUUCAGCGGCGCAUUUGGUUAUGACGGCUUUUGGCCCAGUUCACCGGAAUACAUUUUAGCUGUUUUCUUUAGCUACUGCGAAAAUUAAUUUAAUGAAAACAACUGUAUCUAGCGUCUGCGAAUGGCAGUUUGUAUAAGAGAUUGUUUUUGCUUUGUCGUAAAAUAUAAUUAAAAAUUUAAUAUUUGGAGAGACCUGAAAGUAUUGGUUUCAAAUAAAACAAUAAUCAACCUUGUUUUGUUUACCUGCACAUAAUCACAAGGUCGACCGAUUCCCAAUUUGUAGUUCUGUCUUACAUACUUCGUUUGUUUUAAACUGUACAUCUAGACAUGUUACGGAAUAAAUAAAGAAAUAAUUUCAAACAGAACAUUUACCUAACAACAUUAUGCUGCUCAUAAAAAAGUAAAUAAAAUCCAAGCAAAGUUAAUUAAAGCUCAGUUAAAAGUCAAAAUAUUUAGAUUCCUGUUACUGUCAUAACGAACGACAACAAUAUGAUUUGCGAAUAAAAAAGUCACAUCAA